This 523-nucleotide long non-coding RNA is filed under the name Volvox carteri. RNAcentral's name for it is "long non-coding RNA (VCAR_LNC001574)". The record is from RNAcentral. Lineage: Eukaryota; Viridiplantae; Chlorophyta; Chlorophyceae; Chlamydomonadales; Volvocaceae.
ACAGACCGUCCUGCUGCAUGGGGACUGGGGCCGUGGGUUACCUGGCUGGAGCGGCAUGGUGGUUAGGUGAGCUGCGUAGCUUUGCUGCGAGGUCAUCGCCUUUUCUUGUCUUGAUGGGGCUGGCGAGUCGUCAUCGCCAUCCGCCGUGUUGUUUCUGUGUGGGGUGUGCAUACAUUGGAGAUGGUAGAGCGGUCGAAGAGAGAAUGGUCGCGGUUGUGGUUAGGGUCAUGGUUCUGAGGACCCCUGAGUUACUGUUGCUGUUGCUGUUACUGCUGCUGUUGUUAUUACUGUGCAGUGGCGAUGAUGAGGGUCAGGAUUAUGUGCAGACAGCACACACAUCACCGAUAUGGCCGCUGUAAUUGUCAGUCUCAGUUGAUGCAAAAGGAAAAUCGAGCCGGGGGUGCCACGCACCCGCAUACGCGUGGGCCGCAGAGCCGAGUCAUGACGCAGCACAAGUAGGCCCCGCCCACACCUUGCCGGUCGCAAUGCUACCCGCCUGCCACCACCCCGGUCAACUUCACCG